GGAGAGAAUUUAUGAUUCUCUUCAUCAUGUGAGGCCUCAAAUAAAAAUAUUCACAAAGAUGAGUGUAUAAACAAUCCCAGUCCACGAAUAGGGCUACAAUUAGAUAAGAUCUGACAAUUGGAGCUGACAAUUCAUCUGUUGAUUCAGCCUUCUCGCAUGGGAAAGAUUUUAUACAAACAGAAAAGAGUCAUCAAAGUUGGCAAUUGAGUAAAAUCCCUCUGUAAAUAUUCAAGUGAUCCAGGAAUAGCCCUUAGGUAAGAUCAUGUAGAAAAUGUACAUCUCAAAGGCACAGAGCUGUAACUUCAAG
This is a long non-coding RNA of Homo sapiens (human), 307 nucleotides long. RefSeq lists it as uncharacterized. The record is from RefSeq and is a predicted model, not a curated record. The transcript is spliced from 3 exons. NCBI's taxonomy places the organism in Eukaryota, Metazoa, Chordata, Mammalia, Primates, Hominidae.